UUUUUUGAGUCUUUGAACAUGGUUGGUUCACUGUUGAAACGAAGAAAGGUCCUAAUUCAUACAAUGAUCUAGAAAGCCACCGUAAGGCAAUUGGGUCUCACCACAAAUUUAGGCACCAGCGCCUCAUCAAUCUCUCUCGCAAGUCAUAAAGAUUGCAUUGUCUUUCUUGAAAACUCUCCAUCGAUUGUCUUUCCUUGGCUUGAAAAGUUCCCAUCUUUGCUUGCAUACUGUUUAGUGUCUCAGAUUUCGUUCUCUUUCAUAUUUUAUCAUUAGCUUUGAUCAGUUGACACAAACUCUCUAACAAACAACUCUAGUUAUCAUCAUAUUUGUUUGCUCGGGCAUCAUCUUUACUGUACUAUUCAUAACAACGUUUGUUUGAUAGUAUUAUUGAGAUAUUAUCAUCAUGUUUCCCAUCUGAUAUCUCCUGUGCUCAAAGAAAACAGCUGCUUGUUGGAUCAAUAAAAGAACAGUUUUGAAGCCUUUGUUAGCGAGAAUACUGCUGCUGCUACUUUAGUUCUUUCAAGCUAUUGAUCGAGCUCUUUUGUUCCAUACAUCAGAUUAGAGCAACCAAUAAUUAUCAUGAAGGGUCAAAAACAGAAUUUGCCCACUACAUGUACGAAGCUAUUCAAUGCCCAGUUGCAACUCAUCAAUGUCCUUUCUUUUUUAUUUUUAUUUGGCUGUGGUCUUGUCACUGGGGUCGUUCUUAGUUCCUAUCUCAAACACGUAUCAUGCAAUCUACAUGUCAGCCAAUUCUCUGUUUCUACCACAACCACAACAACUGUUCCAUUGGCAACAUUACCAGCAUUUAAGUUGCCUCGCGUAGGCUUGAAAGAACAUUUGAAAGUGCCUGAUGUCAAGCAUGAUAUGGAUGAAAAGGAAUUGCUAUGGAGAGCUUCAAUGACUCCAAGGAUUCGUGAAUAUCCAUUCGAUAGAGUUCCUAAGGUUGCUUUUAUGUUUUUGACAAAAGGUCCAGUUUUGAUGGCUCCACUGUGGGAGAGAUUCUUCCAGGGGCAUGAGGGGUUGUACUCAAUUUAUGUGCACUCAAGUCCAUCUUACAAUGAAUCAGAACCAGAAAGUCCUGUCUUUCAUGGCAGAAGAAUUCCCAGUAAGGAUGUUCAAUGGGGGAAUACCAACAUAAUUGAAGCUGAAAGACGACUAUUAGCCAAUGCACUCCUUGACAUUUCUAACCAACGUUUUGUUCUCCUCUCAGAAUCAUGCAUUCCAAUCUUCGACUUCUCCACGGUCUACACUUACCUAAUGAACUCAACCAAAAAUCAUGUGGAUUCCUAUGUUUUAGAUGGUCCAGUAGGUAAUGGCCGAUACAAUCCCCGUAUGAGACCUGUGAUCAAAAUUGAACAAUGGAGAAAAGGCUCACAAUGGUUCGAAAUGGAUCGAGACCUUGCCAUUGAAGUUGUCUCGGACCAAGAAUAUUUUCCCGUGUUCCAAAAGUACUGCAAGCGACGAUUGUUACGCUGAUGAACACUAUUUACCAACAUUUGUGAGUAUGAAGCACUCGGAGAGGAACUCAAAUAGGAGUUUGACUUGGGUUGAUUGGUCGAGGGGUGGAGCUCAUCCUGCUAAGUUCUUAAGUAGAGAGGUGACCAUUGAGUUCCUGGAAAGGAUGAGGAGCGGCAGCAAAUGCGUGUAUAAUGGGAAUAGCACCAACACUUGUUUCCUGUUUGCAAGGAAAUUCUGGCCUCCUGCUUUAGAACGGCUGUUAAGGUUUGCUCCCAAGGUCAUGCACUUCAACUCAUAGGUUUAUUGAAUGAUUUCACUCUUUAUUCAUUUGUAUAAAUAUUGCAUAUUCCCUCCCUCACAAGAGACUAGACUUUAGAGCUCUUUGAUUCUCUGUUCUGUUCUGUUAAUAGGAUAUAAGCAUGGAAGUUCUUAAUUACUCUUCUUCCUUGAAUGUAUUUACAAGUACUCUACUUCAAUAAUUUUACACCUGUUUAUUACAGGUACUGAAUUUUAUUUC
This is an RNA transcript of Populus trichocarpa (black cottonwood), 1975 nucleotides long. It is a transcript of the gene named glycosyltransferase BC10, with no coding region annotated. Lineage: Eukaryota; Viridiplantae; Streptophyta; Magnoliopsida; Malpighiales; Salicaceae. The transcript has 2 exons. The record is from RefSeq and is a predicted model, not a curated record.